GCUGAGGAUGAACGCUGGCGGCGUGCUUAACACAUGCAAGUCGAACGAUGAUCUCCAGCUUGCUGGGGGGAUUAGUGGCGAACGGGUGAGUAACACGUGAGUAACCUGCCCUUGACUCUGGGAUAAGCCUGGGAAACUGGGUCUAAUACCGGAUAUGACCAUCUGGCGCAUGUCAUGGUGGUGGAAAGCUUUUUUGUGGUUUUGGAUGGACUCGCGGCCUAUCAGCUUGUUGGUGGGGUAAUGGCCUACCAAGGCGACGACGGGUAGCCGGCCUGAGAGGGUGACCGGCCACACUGGGACUGAGACACGGCCCAGACUCCUACGGGAGGCAGCAGUGGGGAAUAUUGCACAAUGGGCGCAAGCCUGAUGCAGCGACGCCGCGUGAGGGAUGACGGCCUUCGGGUUGUAAACCUCUUUCAGUAGGGAAGAAGCGUAAGUGACGGUACCUGCAGAAGAAGCGCCGGCUAACUACGUGCCAGCAGCCGCGGUAAUACGUAGGGCGCAAGCGUUAUCCGGAAUUAUUGGGCGUAAAGAGCUCGUAGGCGGUUUGUCGCGUCUGCUGUGAAAGACCGGGGCUCAACUCCGGUUCUGCAGUGGGUACGGGCAGACUAGAGUGCAGUAGGGGAGACUG
This 631-nucleotide ribosomal RNA is filed under the name bacterium TN2C. RNAcentral's name for it is "bacterial SSU rRNA". It matches the Rfam family "Bacterial small subunit ribosomal RNA", at positions 22 to 663 of the family's 1533-position model. The record is from RNAcentral.